GGAGAAGUAUCUAUUGCCUCAGCUAGAUGCAGACGAGUUUUCUCCCGAAAAAGUUGGAAGGCAGUGGGAGUUUGAUUGGUUUGAGAGAGCUAAAAUCCUUCCAGAUCCAUCUUUGCCUCGAUCUGUUGUUGUCCCUACAUGGGAAGUGCCUUUUAGACGUCAGCGGGACAGAUUGGAUAAUGGAAGAUGGGAACCAAAGUCAGAGGAGAGAGAUGUAUCAGAACUUACAAUUGGAGCUGAUGAUUCUGGGGCUCUACCGCGCAUUGUUGGACCACCAAAAGAUUUUGUUAGAGGAAGCAUUAACAGUCGU
Molecule: unclassified non-coding RNA, 310 nt
Filed under: Hevea brasiliensis (rubber tree)
Lineage: Eukaryota; Viridiplantae; Streptophyta; Magnoliopsida; Malpighiales; Euphorbiaceae
Source: RNAcentral